Molecule: signal recognition particle RNA, 281 nt
Filed under: Neogale vison (American mink)
Lineage: Eukaryota; Metazoa; Chordata; Mammalia; Carnivora; Mustelidae
Description: Neovison vison (American mink) Metazoan signal recognition particle RNA (ENSNVIG00000022456.1)
Rfam family: Metazoan signal recognition particle RNA
About the family: The signal recognition particle (SRP) is a universally conserved ribonucleoprotein.
Source: Rfam by way of RNAcentral
GCCAAGGACUGGUGUGGUUGAACUCGGGAGGCUAAGGCAGGAGGAUCAUUUGGGCCCAGGAGCUGUGGGCUGUAAUGUGCUAUGUCUAUCAUGUGUCUGCACUAGGUUUGGGAUCAGUGUGGUGGCCCCAAGGAAGCGGGGGACCACGGGUUGCCUAAGGAGGAGUGAAUAGGCUCAGGUGGGAAAGGGAGCAGUCAGAACCCCCUGCUGAUCAGUAGUAGGGUUGCACCUGUGAACCACCACUGCACUCCAGCCUGAAUUUAAAAAAAAAAAGAUGGCAU